AUUGAACGCUGGCGGCAGGCCUAACACAUGCAAGUCGAGCGAGCGGCGGACGGGGGAGUAAUGUAUGGGGACUGCCCGAUAGAGGGGGAUAACUCCUGGAAACGGUAGCUAAUACCGCAUACUAUCGGAUAACCCAUAUGGGAUUAGCUAGUUGGUGAGGUAAAGGCUCACCAAGGCGACGAUCCCUAGCUGGUCUGAGAGGAUGAUCAGCCACACUGGAACUGAGACACGGCCCAGACUCCUACGGAGGCAGCAGUGGGGAAUAUUGCACAAUGGGCGCAAGCCUGAUGCAGCCAUGCCGCGUGUAUGAAGAAGGCCGUAGGGUUGUAAAGUACUUUCAGUCGGGAGGCGUUACCGGCAGAAGAAGCACCGGCUAACUCCGUGCCAGCAGCCGCGGUAAUAC
This 403-nucleotide ribosomal RNA is filed under the name uncultured bacterium. RNAcentral's name for it is "partial 16S ribosomal RNA". It matches the Rfam family "Bacterial small subunit ribosomal RNA", at positions 30 to 526 of the family's 1533-position model. The record is from RNAcentral.